This 384-nucleotide long non-coding RNA is filed under the name Homo sapiens (human). RNAcentral's name for it is "HSALNT0287683". The record is from RNAcentral. Lineage: Eukaryota; Metazoa; Chordata; Mammalia; Primates; Hominidae.
UAACUGCAGGGGAGUGAAAAAACACAGGUUAGGUGAGGUUCACAGAAAGCCCAACAGGCACUUUGCCCCUCAAGGAACAACCCAAACGAGGGACGGGAAAAGGGUGGGGAAUGCACGUCCACUUCUAAACCGUUUCCAUUCGGGGAAAUAAACUACAAAGCAACAGUUGGCUGCUGCAACACAGACAACACCCAAGACUAGAAACAACAGACACCAUCUUCCGUUACUUUGUCUUACGCUUCCUAUAAACACUUUGCAACAAACUUUCCUAGUUAAAAAUUCUCUCUUCAAGACACUGCGUACUACAAAAUCGCCGCAUUAUCAUUGCACAGCUCAGGUCACCCAAUUUAAGACUUUCGGGCACGUGGCACUAAAUCCACCUCC